Long non-coding RNA from Vespa velutina, 772 nucleotides. RefSeq lists it as uncharacterized. The transcript has 3 exons. The record is from RefSeq and is a predicted model, not a curated record. NCBI's taxonomy places the organism in Eukaryota, Metazoa, Arthropoda, Insecta, Hymenoptera, Vespidae.
UAUACACAAACUAAUCUAUGUCUUAAGAGGCUACAUAUUAAGACGAUCGAUAAUGGUUUAAGCAAAGUCAAAAGAUAAACACAAAAGAAUAAAUAACUUUACUGCCGAUAUCGAACUACGUAUCGUUUACUUUAUAUUUAAUCGUGACCUUUCCAACACUUUAUUUAAUAUUAGUUAAUUAAGGAUGACUUUGUCAUGAUGAUUCGAUCAAAUAACAAUGCGUCUAGCCGUGCUGUUUCGUGCAUUUUGAACGUACGUGACAAACGUCAUUGUGACCCAAUAUAUUGCAUUUUUGAAAUUUAUAAAGAUUAUUGCGAUUUGCUCGUCAAUGAUGGAUCAUGGACGAUCACGAAACGAGAGAUCAUCAGUAUAAUAACUACGAGUGAAGAUGACCGAAGAACGAAGAGAUAAAUCGUCUCUCACGGAAAUCCUUAGCGAAUAAAUCGAAGUGGAAAGAAGGAGAAAAAGAGAUAGGAAAGAGCAGAGUCGUCCCACUUUCAAGCUUUACGAGGACUUUGCAUUCUCGCGAGAAAUGCGUGCAUAUCGUAUGGAUCUUGAAGAGCCUUAGAUGUAACUCAAAGGGUGGGAAGAAUUCACGACGCUAUCAAUUGCAAGCUAUACGAAAAGGUCAUGAUCGAUUAACUUAAACACAUAGAGGCCUCUUAAGUUAAAUGUGUGCAUAUACAAGUUGUCGGAAAGAUUGGCUGGAGUUUUUAAUAAAAAAUAUUGAUAUGAAAAAGUGUGAAAAAUGAAGUCGAGAAAAAACAUAUAU